UAGCUUAUACCCUGUGUUUCCUGAGCACAGCUUGCAGUAGGGGCUAUCCUCGCGGUGCUGUGUAUACCAUACCGCAGUACUGCAGCUCCACCAACACCAUGGGCCAAAUGUAAUAGAGUGAGAGUUUCAGAAAGUGAGAGAUUUGGUCAUGUUUACGAUUGAAGAGUUAGAUGGAACAUCUGCUGUAUCAUAAAACAUUAUGGAGAUGAAAACAUUCCUGCCCAGUGGAAUAUUCCAGGGAUCCGUGACCUUUAACCUUCAGGGAACCUGGGAUAAGUAUUGAAAAUCAUCAGGAUCUGACAGCUCUUUGCUGAAUUGUUCCACAUUAAUUGUGUCAUGUGUCUUUAGCUAUGUCAUGAUUUUUACGUUUUAAUUUCUGCAUUCAUUUUGACCCUUUUUAAUCCAAUGUUACUCAUCAUCCUACAGGUAUAUAUAUAUAUAUAUAUAUAAAAAAAAAGCUGUAUAAAUAUAAGGAGUGUGUGAGCUUAACCCCAAUUGGGUAAAGUUGGUUUUAUAGGUGAGGGCCAUUUUUAAGUAGAGCUGCAUGCUGAAAGAAUA
Molecule: long non-coding RNA, 558 nt
Organism: Pseudophryne corroboree (corroboree frog)
Lineage: Eukaryota; Metazoa; Chordata; Amphibia; Anura; Myobatrachidae
Exons: 3
Source: RefSeq, a predicted model, not a curated record